CACGUAGGGUGCGAGCGUUGUCCGGAAUUAUUGGGCGUAAAGAGCUCGUAGGCGGUGUGUCGCGUCGGCCGUGAAAACUCGCAGCUUAACUGUGGGCUUGCGGUCGAUACGGGCAUCACUGGAGUUCGGCAGGGGAGACUGGAAUUCCUGGUGUAGCGGUGAAAUGCGCAGAUAUCAGGAGGAACACCGGUGGCGAAGGCGGGUCUCUGGGCCGAUACUGACGCUGAGGAGCGAAAGCGUGGGGAGCGAACAGG
RNAcentral lists this ribosomal RNA (254 nucleotides) under uncultured bacterium. RNAcentral describes it as "partial 16S ribosomal RNA". It matches the Rfam family "Bacterial small subunit ribosomal RNA", at positions 524 to 776 of the family's 1533-position model. The record is from RNAcentral.